RNAcentral lists this long non-coding RNA (933 nucleotides) under Betta splendens (Siamese fighting fish). RNAcentral's name for it is "lncRNA (ENSBSLG00000005903.1)". The record is from RNAcentral. Lineage: Eukaryota; Metazoa; Chordata; Actinopteri; Anabantiformes; Osphronemidae.
GUUGGAUUCUAUCGUUUGUGUUUGCCGCAAAGAGCGACAGGACUCGUGGUUUCAGCACCUGAGGGCUGGACAGUACGACCCCGCUUUUUAUUGGGCGCUCGUGCACGGAUGCGCGUGCCCUCCUCUAGUCGUUAUAAGUGUGUAUGAGGUUUGUAGCCACGGCUUCAUAAUUAGGCCAAAGAUGCAAUGCGCAGGCAAAAGCUCACAUACAUUUUAAUCUCUUGUUUGUUAACUACUCUUAUUACGAUCAGUAAAAUGCCAAAUUAUGUUUUGAAACCUUCUCUCAAGUAAAUAUGCUGCACAGAAACAAUUAAGUAUAUGAAAUGAAUGUUUACAUGAAUGGAAAAUGAAUGUUUUAGUGCUAUUUUACCAUUACUAUUGUAAUGGUAUAUGAACGCUCAGCACCUCCGGGAAAGGAACUGGUCCGAGUUUGGUAACGCAGGGUUACAUCAUGUUUGUCCAACAUUUUCCGGAAACGCCGGGUAACUCGCUUCAGCUAGUAAACAAGCAUGGACGCAGCAGUGGCUGUGAGGAAAACAUUCGUUCUGAUAUUUUUGUGAAUUCGAAGUGGAUGUGCAGUGAAAAAACCGGUUGCACGGUUCAGCAGAGGAAGGUCACCCCCGCUGCUCUUAGCUUACUCCGUCAGCUGCGGACCAGGCCUGCAGGACAGUAGCCCCAGCUUGGCUUCACAGGAACAUGAUGAGGAAGACGAGGACAGCGACCAACUUAUCGAGGAAUGGAUGAUCCUGGGAGGAGAUGAGCAGCCGGGAGACUCGAGCAUCAAGCUCAAUCUGAGCUACUGGAUCAGUUCUGAGGAGGACUCUGGAGAUGAAGGUAUUUAAUAACAGAGAUGAGAAUACCAAGCGGCUUUUAAAACCACUAAAUGGCACACCCCUUAUUCCAUGCAUGAACUGCAUGCUGAAAUAUUCUCUU